AUAAACGCUGGCGGCGCACAUAAGACCUGCAAGUUGAACGGACUUAAUCGAAAUAUUUAUAUUUUGAAGCGGUUAGUGGCGGACUGGUGAGUAACGCGUAAGGAACCUGCCUAUUAGAGGGGAAUAACAGUGAGAAAUCAUUGCUAAUACCGCAUAUGCCAUAGAUAUCACAUGAUAACAGUGGGAAAGGAGCAAUCCGCUAAUAGAUGGCCUUGCGUCUGAUUAGAUAGUUGGUGGGGUAACGGCCUACCAAGUCGACGAUCAGUAGCCGGACUGAGAGGUUGAACGGCCACAUUGGGACUGAGAUACGGCCCAGACUCCUACGGGAGGCAGCAGUCGGGAAUAUUGCGCAAUGGAGGAAACUCUGACGCAGUGACGCCGCGUAUAGGAAGAAGGUUUUCGGAUUGUAAACUAUUGUCGUUAGGGAAGAGAAAGGACAGUACCUAAGGAGGAAGCUCCGGCUAACUACGUG
Molecule: ribosomal RNA, 472 nt
Filed under: uncultured bacterium
Lineage: Bacteria
Description: partial 16S ribosomal RNA
Rfam family: Bacterial small subunit ribosomal RNA
Source: RNAcentral